AUAUAAUAAGUCCUACCUGCCCAGUGAUUUUUUCAACGGCCAUCUUUGAUGAUAACGUAGCAUAAUCAAUUGUCUAUUAAUUUUAGACUAGAAUGAAUGGAUUAACGAAAGCCGAACUGUCUCCUAUUUCCUAUCAAUGAAAUUAACCUCUCUGUCCAAAGGCAGAGAUAACUCUAUAAGACGAAAAGACCCUAAAAGCUUCAAAUAUUAGAUUACCUAGCUUAAACAACAACUAAAGAAAAGUUUUAAUUCCUAAAAUUUGGUUGGGGCAACCAUUGAUAUUAAAGAAUCAUCAAUAAUUUAACUAAUAACUUGCAUAAUAUUAGAGUUACAUCUCAAUUAAGUAAGAAACUUAUAAAAAUGACCCAGAAAACUGAUCAAUGAACAAGUUACUUUAGGGAUAACAGCGCUAUUUCUUUUUAAAGUCCCCAUCGACAAAGAAGCUUACGACCUCGAUGUUGGAUUAAGAUAUCCAAGUGGUGCAAAAGCUACUAAUGGUUCGUUUGUUCAACGAGUAAUAUCUUACGUGAUCUGAUUCCAGACC
Molecule: ribosomal RNA, 544 nt
Filed under: Myxine australis (southern hagfish)
Lineage: Eukaryota; Metazoa; Chordata; Myxini; Myxiniformes; Myxinidae
Description: partial 16S ribosomal RNA
Rfam family: Bacterial large subunit ribosomal RNA
Source: RNAcentral